RNAcentral lists this ribosomal RNA (1522 nucleotides) under human gut metagenome. RNAcentral describes it as "bacterial LSU rRNA". It matches the Rfam family "Bacterial large subunit ribosomal RNA", at positions 1391 to 2925 of the family's 2925-position model. The record is from RNAcentral.
CUAAGCCGAGGCCGAAAGGCGUAGGUGAUGGACAACAGGUUGAUAUUCCUGUACCACCAAUAACCGUUUGAGAAAUGGGAUGACACAGUAGGAUAAGCUAACCGCACUGUUGGUUAUGUGCGGGCAAGUAUUGAGGCAGUUCCGAUAGGCAAAUCCGUCGGAAUAAUGCUGGGGUACGAUGCGGAGCGAAAUUUAGUAGCGAAGUAGCUGAUUUCACACUGUCGAGAAAAGUCUCUAUCGAGGUUAAAGGUGCCUGUACCGCAAACCGACACAGGUGGGUGAGGAGAGUAUCCUAAGGCCAGCGAGAGAACUGUUGUUAAGGAACUCGGCAAAAUGACCCCGUAACUUAGGGAGAAGGGGUGCCUUCGAAAGAAGGCCGCAGAGAAUAGGCCCAAGCGACUGUUUACCAAAAACAUAGGUUUCUGCUAAGUCGCAAGACGAUGUAUAGGAGCUGACGCCUGCCCGGUGCUGGAAGGUUAAGGGGAUCUGUUAGAGCAAUCGAAGCAGUGAACUUAAGCCCCAGUAAACGGCGGCCGUAACUAUAACGGUCCUAAGGUAGCGAAAUUCCUUGUCGGGUAAGUUCCGACCCGCACGAAAGGCGUAACGAUUUGGGCACUGUCUCAACAACAGACUCGGUGAAAUUGUAAUACCGGUGAAGAUGCCGGUUACCUGCGACAGGACGGAAAGACCCCAUGGAGCUUUACUGUAGCUUGACAUUGAGUCUCGGUGCUACAUGUACAGGAUAGGUGGGAGACUAUGAAGCAUGGACGUCAGUCUGUGUGGAGUCAUCCUUGGGAUACCACCCUUGUAGUACUGGGAUUCUAACCAGAGGCCAUGAAUCUGGUCUUGGGACACUGUCAGGUGGACAGUUUGACUGGGGCGGUCGCCUCCCAAAAAGUAACGGAGGCGCUCAAAGGUUCUCUCAGUACGGUCGGAAAUCGUACGAAGAGUGUAAAGGCAAAAGAGAGCUUGAUUGCAAGACAUACAGGUCGAGCAAGGACGAAAGUCGGACUUAGUGAUCCGGUGGUACCGCAUGGAAGGGCCAUCGCUCAACGGAUAAAAGCUACCCUGGGGAUAACAGGCUGAUCUCCCCCAAGAGUCCACAUCGACGGGGAGGUUUGGCACCUCGAUGUCGGCUCAUCACAUCCUGGGGCUGUAUUCGGUCCCAAGGGUUCGGCUGUUCGCCGAUUAAAGUGGUACGCGAGCUGGGUUCAGAACGUCGUGAGACAGUUCGGUCCCUAUCCGUCGCAGGCGUAGGAAAUUUGAGGAGACCUGUCCUUAGUACGAGAGGACCGGGAUGGACGUACCGCUGGUGUACCAGUUGUUCUGCCAAGGGCAUGGCUGGGUAGCUAAGUACGGAAAGGAUAAGCGCUGAAAGCAUCUAAGCGCGAAGCCCACUUCAAGAUAAGAUUUCCCACCGCAAGGUUAAGAUCCCAGGAAGACUACCUGGUUGAUAGGUCAGAGGUGUAAGUGCAGUAAUGUAUUUAGCUUAUCGAUACUAAUAGAUCGAGGACUUGACCAA